UCCAUGUAAUUUUUUGCACUUGGCUAAGUAUACUUAAACUCGACCAUGAUUAUAAUACAUAACUAGUAACAGUUACACAAUCAAGCUACAUAACUGGCUAAACAACUAUAUUUUCGCAAACUAAAAAAUAAACUGCUCAUACACGAAAAUAAGUUAUACAAUAUUUUACAACCUGAAAGUUCAAAGAUUAGAUAUAUGAGCUUCAUAACCUGCAAAGUUCUGCUAUUCUCAAUCAGAAGUCCAUGUAAUUUUUUGCACUUGGCUAAGUAUACCUAAAUUCGACCGUGAUUAUAACACACAACUAGUAACAAUUACACAGUCAAACUACAUGACUGGCUAAACAACUAUAUUUUCGCAAACUACAAAAUACUGCACAUACACGAAAAUAAGUUAUCCAAUAUUUUCCAACCUGAAAGUACAAAGAUUAGAUAUAUGAGCUUCAUAACCUGCAAAGUUUUGCUAUUCUCAAUCCUUCAGAAAGGGACAACAAUACUUUCUAUUCAAUAAAUUUCAAUUAUUUUAUAUUUUUCCUCUCUUUUUACCACUCCUAAUGUAUUGAGUUCGAUUCGAAACAGAUGAUAUUCAAAUUUGCUGAAGUGCGGUUUCUUCAUCACCACCAUUUCUUCAUUUUUAAUUGGAUCGAUAGCAUUUGAAGGCACCUCUGAGACAACUCCUUUAGUAGAAUAUGGUGGUGACAUGCCAUUCAAGCACUCCUCCAAUAUCAUUAUAGUUUGUCAAACUAUUCAAAAAUCAGUAAAAUAAACAAAUACCGAAUAUCAAAUUAUAAUAUGUAAUACAUUUACUUCGUAACACUUGUAGAAGAGUAGAUGAUUUAUGUUUUGCAUUGUAUCAUAAUUGUUAAGAAACAAUAACCAACUAUCGCAAAUUUCAGAUCAUAACUCUCAAGAAUGAUAGUUUUAUCUCGACAGAUGGAUUCCAUAAGCACUACACGUGAAUUCUCCAUAUGCUAACAUGAAUCAAAUAUUUGAAUCCUUAAAUUGAACCACAAUACAUCGAAUUUAAAAACGUAUCAACUCAUAAAUUCAGCCCACAUUUAAAUUAAACUCAAAAUUUUCAUCCAAACGACAUGUGAGCUGACCAUAAAUCGAUUCAACAACUCACUGUUAGUAAAAGAUAAAAAAAGGUUCCUAUAUGCAUUUAAAUUAUUGUACUUACAAAUCGAAUAAUCAAGUAUUUGAGAAAACAUAAUCACGGAAUAAACACAACUCCUCAUUCAUCUAAAAUUGAAUCAAUGACUCGAUAAAAAAUAUCAAAAUAUAUAGAUAAAUGAACAAGCUUACAAAUAAAUGUAACUAAGCUAAUUCGGGGAAAAAAAAAAGAGACUAACUUCAUGCAAACUUAAAAUUAUAUUCAUAACACAAUACAACAAGAAUUUAAUUUAACGAUAACACCUAAAACAAUAGCAUAUUUGGAAAAAAAAAUCUCGGUAAAACUUCAAAAUCAAGUAAAAUUGUCAAAUUAUACAACUAACACUAAACAAGAGCGUACUAAAAUUUCAUUCAUUCUUACUUCCCAGUGUAGCCUAAAUGUAAUUCACUAAAUAAGAGUGUAUUUUCACUUUUUCAUUUGCAGAACUUACAUACCAUUAAAAAUUAAGUAAUCCUGGUUCAAAACAAUAGGAACACCAGUCGUUUUCUAUUUAGGGGCUGUUCUCUUUCCCGUUUUCAAGUCGUUUUCUAUUUUCAAUUUUUCAAAACGAUGAAAAUGCGUUCUUUUUCCCAUUUUCGAAAACCAGUUUUUGAAAACAAAAAAAUGAAUUACACUAAAAACACAAAACGACUAAAAAGAUGUUUUGAACGUUUUGAAGCCAAAACCAUGAAAAAGUAGAAAACACGGGAAAUGCCUACAUUAAAACCCACUCGUGACCUUCUCUCUCAGAUAUUCUCUCUCUCCUCGUCUCCUGUAAGAUCCGUUCCAGUAUCUUCUAGGGUUUGCUCUGCCUUCGCCCAAACAAGUCCGACGAAUAGCUACACUCACCGAUUUAGCUCCUCAGAACACCUGAGAAAUUGCGUGAAGAGGUGAAAAUUUCUGUCAAAAUUUCUCAUAUUUUGUGCAAAUUUCUAUCAAUUCAAGCCUCUGCGGCUUCCAUGGGGUAGGGACCUAAUGCCUUCUUCUUUUGGGUUUUUCAUUUUAGCUAUGAGAUCAUAUUGCUCGCUGAAUGAAUCUUUUUAUUGCUAGAAUUUUGCACCUUUCUUUUGCUGUUUUACUUAUAAAUGGUUUAGUUCCAUUGCUUUUUCUAGGCGUGCGUGUGUUGUGCCGCGGGGUGGGGAGAUAUUAAUCAAAUUAGCGAUUGAGUUAGCCAUGGAAAUGAUUUCGUAAUCUUUCGCAAUUGAGGAUUCUUGAUAAUAUGAGGCACGAUUAUGUUGCCUAUGACUGGAUACAGGAUGAAUGCAACAGAUAUUUAAAUUUAUGUUGAAAGUUUCCAAGUGUUUGAUAGAAGUCCCCAAUGGCUUCAUCUUUUUUAUUUUUAUUUUUUACUUUCACUCUUCCAUCGUUUUAGUUCAUUUGCUUCCUAGAAUACUAUUCUGACUGAUGAAUCACUAGACAAAAAAUAAUAACCCACCAAUGUUUCUAAGAGCUGCUAUCCUAUGCUUAGUUCGUCAAUCCUGAUUGUCUCUUUAAUCUCAAAACUCUGCAACUUCUGUCCAUCAUCUACCCAUCCUUUGAUCCAUCUCGGGAUGUUUUUGGUAGAAGAGGAAAUGGUUGGAAGCUUGUAAUUGAACUGCUCCUUUUUAUUCCAUUUUGGCUUUUUGAUAGAAUCUGAAAUGAAGUCCACCAUUUCAAAUUAAAUGGAAUGACGUCCUGACAAUCUUGCUCUACUUUUCUACUGUAGAAUUCUUGAAUCUGGCUUUAGAUCUUUAUAUUUUGGCAGCAUAUUAUAGGACGGCAUUAUGCUAGUGCAAAAUAAAAUCUGUCUGAAGUUCAGUGCUAGGGCUACUUUUCGCUUAUUUUCUUUCCAAUAAUUGUUUCAUGCUAAUUUAGUGGGAUGCUUCAACCUUAGCUGAUUCUCUGUUGCUUGAGCAUUUUCAGUGGCAAGUCUGAAAUUGUAAGUCAUGCUGGACCUCGCUUAAGGCAAGUUCCCUUUUAUGGACUGAUCUUAUGAAAGGAAGGUUCUAAUAACAUGACUAAUUGGUGCCCUUUUCUUUGGGCAAGGCCGUGGGUUUUCUUUUCUUUUCUUUCCUCUUUUUUUUUCAACUUUUCUAAAAUUGUAAUAAAUGUAAUACUCUACUUAUUUCCUAAUAAUUUGGUGUAUAUAAAUAUAGCUCCUAUAUGGGUGGUCACAGAGUUAGGAAUCAGGAACCAAUGUCCUGGUCAGACGAGAAUGAACACACUUUCAUCGAAAUUCUUUAUGAGAAAGUGAAAUCAAAUGUAUUGCAAUGUUCAACAUUCACGAAAGACGAAUGGGGUAGGAUCAAUGAAAACAUGAUAGCUUCAACAAAAAUGGAUUACGGGAUAGAUAGAUUAAAGGGAAAGUGGAACCGCUUACGUAAGAUUCAUCGCAUGUUCUCUGAACUUUUGGGACAUACAGGGGUUACAUGGGAUCCAAAUACCAACAAAGUUAAUGCUGCUGAGGAAGUUUGGCAACACUUUUAUACGGUACAUGUAUUUAUUAAAGAAUAUUUUUGUCAUUAUUUUUUUCUUAUCAAAUUUAUUUUUUUAUGUUCAACACUUUGACAAUGUGACUUCUUUUCCAAUGGCAGAUUAAUAGGUCGGAUUACAAGAUGUUCAAGAGGGAAGGAUGUAAGCACUACCACACUCUUGGGGAGAUAUUUAGUGGGACUACAGCUACUGGAGGAUUAUGCAAAGCCUCCACUCAGCUUCCAAACACAUCAGAGGAAGAAAGGCAACUAGAAAAUGAUUUUUUGAAUAGGGGAGUGCAUGUACAUGCAGAGAAUGAUGAUGAAGUCGAUGUGGUUUCUGAUACUCGUCGAUGUAACGAAAUUGGUACAUCAGGUGAACGACAACGUAAGGAACCUAAGAUCAGUAAAAGUGAUAAACUUGAGGCAUGCAUGGCACAAUGGUCAUCUACAGUUAGUAUGAGGAAUGAAGAAAUUGAACUUAGAAAACUUUAUCUGAAAGAAAAGCUUGCAAAGAUUCAAGGAAAAUCAAGUAAUCAGUCAGAUGUUGAAGUUAACAGUCCGGAUCCUUAUUCAAAUGUCAUUUGCAUGGACAUCUUAAACGAUAUUGAAAGGUUGUCUAAUGAGGUUUAUAUGAAAGCAAUACGGGCUUUUAAUGAUCCUAAUUUCAGGGUGUCAUUUGUGAAGAUGCCAGAAGUAAGGAGAGGACCUAUUUUGGAACUACUUUGAUGUGACUGUUGUUUUAAUUUUUCUAGUAACGUGUUGUUCUAAUUUGUGAUGUUGAAAUACUACGUUAAAGUGUGACUAUUGUUGUUCUAAUUUGUGAUGUUGAAUGUUGAAUGUUGAAAUACUACGUUAACAUGUUGUUUUAAUUUGUGAUGUUGAAUGUGUGACUAUUGUUGAAAUACUACAUUAAUGACUAUGGUUAUAUUUUGUUCACAGUAUGGCCAGUGAAUCAAGUGAUGAUGAUUUGUUAAAUAUGGAUGAUUCGAAAGGAAAUUUUGGAGAUUUCAUGAUGCUUCAUUGCUUUGCUGCACACAAAGGAAGUACCAUUGGUAGGAUGCCUUGUAGAACAUCAUUGCUUACGGGAAAAAUGUACGUGCUCGAAAUUUUGAAUGGACAUCCGGAAGUGUGUUAUCGUAAUUUUCGUAUGCAGAAACACGUUUUUAUGAAUUUUUGUGAUACUUUAAAAGAAAAAGGGUUGUUGUAUGAUGGGAAAAAAGUGAGUGUUGAGGAGGGUGUUGCUAUGUUUUUGAUGAUUGUAGGGCACACGACACGAUACAGUAUAAUUGGUGAUAGGUUUCAGCAUUCCAAUAACACAAUACAUAAAUGGUUUAAACGAGUUAUCAGGGCUGUUUGUUCAUUUGGCAUUGAACUAAUACGUCCGACAAAUCAAGACAUUGUGCAUGAGCGAAUUUUGCAGAAAUAUCCUUUCUUUAAAAAUUGUAUAGGUGCAAUAGAUGGAACACAUGUUGCUGCUUGGGCUCCUGCAUCGAGACAAAUAUCUUUUCGAGGAAGGAAAACUAAUGUAACACAAAAUGUGAUGUUGACAUGUGAUUUUGAUAUGAAAUUCACAUUUGUGUAUUCUGGUUGGGAAGGUACUGCUAAUGAUUCACGAGUAUUUGUUGACGCUGUCACAAGGAGCUCAAACAAUUUUCCAAUGCCACGAGGAGGUAUAUUCUUAUACUUCAAAUAAUUAUUGCGAAUUUAUUUACAGUCACACUAUGUAAGCCUUUUUUUCAUUUUGCAGAUCAAUUUUACCUUGUUGAUUCUGGAUAUCCAAAUAUGCCUGGAUUUCUUGCCCCUUAUCGAGGUCAAAGAUAUCAUCUGCGUGACUAUGUUGGACGGGGAAGAUUACGUGGGAAGGAAGAAUUGUUCAACUAUAGACACUCAUCGUGCCGUAACAUUAUUGAACGUUGCAUUGGAGUUUUAAAGGCAAGAUUUCCUAUUUUGAAGUUGAUUACCAACUAUCAACUUAGUAGGCAAAGACAAAUUCCUAUUGCAUGUUGCGCAAUAAACAACUUUAUUCGUCAGGAGCACGCUUUAGAUAAGUUGUUCGUACAGUAUUCGGAGGAGAAUAUGGUGUUUCAAGAUAUCCCGGAGUCAAGUCAAGAUCAAGAAGUCAUAAAUUUUGAUGCUAGUCAAACAGCUCAAAUGGGACAAGUUAGGGAUCAAAUUGCUACACAAAUGUGGAAUGACUAUUCAAGACGUCGUAUAUGAUUUCGUGGAUGUAGUUUAUAUUUUGUUAGUGUCUACUUGUUUUGUAAUGACACAUAAACUUCGAAAAAUAUCUAUUGAAUUAUUCGUAUUCAGGAUUUUGAAUUAUUCUAGUGCUUUCUCAUGAUUUGAACUGUGUUAAAUGUUGUCUUCUGGUAAACAAGUGAAUUAUUUUGAAAGAGUGCAUAUUCGGGAAAGCUUAAAGUAAAUUGUUGGGCUAAAAUUGAAGUUGGUUACUAGUUUAAAAUGGAAAUAAAAUUCAACGGCUAACAUGAAUUAAUUACAUAAAGUUCAACUAAUACUAUAUUUAAUAUUAUAUUAGCAUUAAAAUAUUCACAUUUGUUGAAUAAUCAGAUUUUUGGAAUAAAAUAUUAUUAAAAAAAUUUCUCAAAAUUUCAAAGUAAACGCGUUUUUCAGUUUUAUGUUUUCAGAAACAGUUUUCCAAAAUGACAAAGAGAACGUAUUUUCAGCAAUUUCAAAACAGGCACUCAAAACACAAAACUCAAAAUGAUUUCAAAACUCAAAACACAAAAUCGAAACACAAAGAGAACAGGCCCUAAAUAAUUCUACCCAACAUGACAUGGAAAACAUUUGAAAAUCUCAAUUAUUUUAGGAAUUUGAAUAUCGUCACUUAUUAAAUCGAAACCCUACAUAUGAAUUUCGUGUAUUCUUGAUUUUUAUGAAAUAAAUAUGGUUGGGGAACCCUUAACUCCCAUCGACCUUCCUUGGUGGACCCUAAAAAGUCACUAAGGAUGUGUCCGUCUUUACCAAAAAAAAAAAAAAAAAAAACCCUACAUAUGAAUUUUCCCUCAACUUCAAAUUGCAACCACUCAUAACACAAAUAAAACACAAACUAUUCAAAACAUUUAAAUCUUAAAAAUGAAAAUGAUAUUUACCCGAUGUAAACUUGGAGCCAAAUACGAGCUGUAGGAUAUUGAACUUGAAAUAUACUCCGACUAGGUAUGGUUAUCGAUCAUGAGAUGGGGAAGUGGUUAUUGUGGGGCGUAAAUUCUUCAAAUUCUUCUUCACCAUUUUGUGUGAAAUGAGUUUAGGAAGUGGGUUUGCAAAAUUGGGAUAGGUACAAAAUUGCAAAAUGGGUUUAAAAAGUGGGGGGUGUGGUUUUAUGUGAUAUUUUUUUUACUUUUUAUACUACAUUUCAUCUAAUCAAAUCAGUUUUAAUUUAUGACAUG
RNAcentral lists this long non-coding RNA (7006 nucleotides) under Olea europaea (common olive). RNAcentral's name for it is "long non-coding RNA (OEUR_LNC000932)". The record is from RNAcentral. Lineage: Eukaryota; Viridiplantae; Streptophyta; Magnoliopsida; Lamiales; Oleaceae.